CCUACGGGAGGCAGCAGUGAGGAAUAUUGGUCAAUGGGCGUAAGCCUGAACCAGCCAAGUCGCGUGAGGGAUGAAGGACCUAUGGUUCGUAAACUUCUUUUAUAAGGGAAUAAAGUGUGGGACGUGUCGGGUUUUGUAUGUACCUUAUGAAUAAGGAUCGGCUAACUCCGUGCCAGCAGCCGCGGUAAUACGGAGGAUCCGAGCGUUAUCCGGAUUUAUUGGGUUUAAAGGGUGCGUAGGCGGACUUUUAAGUCAGUGGUGAAAGUUUGUGGCUCAACCGUAAAAUUGCCGUUGAAACUGUGAGUCUUGAGUAUAUUAGAGGCAGGCGGAAUGCGUGGUGUAGCGGUGAAAUGCAUAGAUAUCACGCAGAACCCCGAUUGCGAAGGCAGCUUACCGGAC
This 399-nucleotide ribosomal RNA is filed under the name uncultured bacterium. Its description in RNAcentral is "partial 16S ribosomal RNA". It matches the Rfam family "Bacterial small subunit ribosomal RNA", at positions 338 to 734 of the family's 1533-position model. The record is from RNAcentral.